UACGUAGGGUGCAAGCGUUGUUCGGAAUUACUGGGCGUAAAGAGUGUGUAGGCGGUGCUCUAAGUUCGGUGUGAAAUCUCCCGGCUUAACUGGGAGGGUGCGCCGGAAACUGGAGUGCUCGAGCGUGGGAGAGGAAAGCGGAAUUCCUGGUGUAGCGGUGAAAUGCGUAGAUAUCAGGAGGAACACCUGCGGUGUAGACGGCUUUCUGGACCAUUGCUGACGCUGAGACACGAAAGCGUGGGUAGCAAACAGG
This 253-nucleotide ribosomal RNA is filed under the name uncultured bacterium. RNAcentral describes it as "partial 16S ribosomal RNA". It matches the Rfam family "Bacterial small subunit ribosomal RNA", at positions 524 to 776 of the family's 1533-position model. The record is from RNAcentral.